Long non-coding RNA from Pantherophis guttatus, 464 nucleotides. RefSeq lists it as uncharacterized. Lineage: Eukaryota; Metazoa; Chordata; Lepidosauria; Squamata; Colubridae. The record is from RefSeq and is a predicted model, not a curated record.
GCCUAGCGUGAAGGUUUGGUGAUCUUUGGAGAGAGGAAAGGCAAGUGCUUGCAGUGGGAAAGAAAGAUCAGAGUCGCCUGCAGUAAUCCAGGCUUCACCUACCUGGCGCCCUCCAGAAGUCUUGGUUUAUAUCUCUCAUCAUCCCCAGGAAACGCGGACUCGAAAGGGACCGGUUGGUCUUGGCCUUACCGUUUAGCGCCACUUAGCGGACAACUGCUGCUACUGAAGACCGGAGGAGACGGGAUAAUCGCACCUAGGCGCCAGGCUCUUCAAUCACCGAGCCCAGCAAAACAGUAAUUAAAAGCCACAACACUGAGCCAGCGCACAUCCUCUGAAAUCCUCAGAAGAAAGAGACAUACCUGUGUGGGAGAAUCAACUUGUUGCAACAGCUGCUAACGGGGAAAGCAAGUUAGCCUGUAAGAAAUUCUUAAAACAGAAUAAAAUCUACCUCUCUUUCCAUCUCU